UUACCGAGUUUACAACUCCCAAACCCCUGUGAACAUACCAAUUGUUGCCUCGGCGGAUCAGCCCGCUCCCGGUAAAACGGGACGGCCCGCCAGAGGACCCCUAAACUCUGUUUCUAUAUGUAACUUCUGAGUAAAACCAUAAAUAAAUCAAAACUUUCAACAACGGAUCUCUUGGUUCUGGCAUCGAUGAAGAACGCAGCAAAAUGCGAUAAGUAAUGUGAAUUGCAGAAUUCAGUGAAUCAUCGAAUCUUUGAACGCACAUUGCGCCCGCCAGUAUUCUGGCGGGCAUGCCUGUUCGAGCGUCAUUUCAACCCUCAAGCCCAGCUUGGUGUUGGGACUCGCGAGUCAAAUCGCGUUCCCCAAAUUGAUUGGCGGUCACGUCGAGCUUCCAUAGCGUAGUAGUAAAACCCUCGUUACUGGUAAUCGUCGCGGCCACGCCGUUAAACCCCAACUUCUGAAUGUUGACCUCGGAUCAGGUAGGAAUACCCGCUGAACUUAAGCAUAUCA
This 507-nucleotide ribosomal RNA is filed under the name Fusarium sp. CQCTD02C7-M2. RNAcentral describes it as "eukaryotic LSU rRNA". The stretch from base 152 to 305 matches the Rfam family "5.8S ribosomal RNA". Lineage: Eukaryota; Fungi; Ascomycota; Sordariomycetes; Hypocreales; Nectriaceae. RNAcentral also lists the same sequence under 1 other name. The record is from RNAcentral.